This 405-nucleotide ribosomal RNA is filed under the name Salmonella enterica. RNAcentral's name for it is "bacterial SSU rRNA". It matches the Rfam family "Bacterial small subunit ribosomal RNA", at positions 570 to 974 of the family's 1533-position model. Lineage: Bacteria; Pseudomonadati; Pseudomonadota; Gammaproteobacteria; Enterobacterales; Enterobacteriaceae. RNAcentral also lists the same sequence under 1 other name. The record is from RNAcentral.
CGCAGGCGGUCUGUCAAGUCGGAUGUGAAAUCCCCGGGCUCAACCUGGGAACUGCAUUCGAAACUGGCAGGCUUGAGUCUUGUAGAGGGGGGUAGAAUUCCAGGUGUAGCGGUGAAAUGCGUAGAGAUCUGGAGGAAUACCGGUGGCGAAGGCGGCCCCCUGGACAAAGACUGACGCUCAGGUGCGAAAGCGUGGGGAGCAAACAGGAUUAGAUACCCUGGUAGUCCACGCCGUAAACGAUGUCUACUUGGAGGUUGUGCCCUUGAGGCGUGGCUUCCGGAGCUAACGCGUUAAGUAGACCGCCUGGGGAGUACGGCCGCAAGGUUAAAACUCAAAUGAAUUGACGGGGGCCCGCACAAGCGGUGGAGCAUGUGGUUUAAUUCGAUGCAACGCGAAGAACCUUAC